AAUGUCGUAACAAGGUUUCCGUAGGUGAACCUGCGGAAGGAUCAUUACAGAGUUCAUGCCCGCGAGGGUAGACCUCCCACCCGUGUAUACUGUUACCCUGUUGCUUUGGGCGGGCCGCCGCAAGGCCCUGGCUCCGGCUGGGUCGCGCCCGUCAGAGGACCCCGUAAACUCCGAGUGUCAGUGUCGUCUGAGUGGCUAUAUAUAAUGGUGAAAA
This 214-nucleotide unclassified non-coding RNA is filed under the name plant metagenome. Its description in RNAcentral is "partial contains small subunit ribosomal RNA and internal transcribed spacer 1". The stretch from base 1 to 47 matches the Rfam family "Eukaryotic small subunit ribosomal RNA", at positions 1785 to 1831 of the family's 1831-position model. The record is from RNAcentral.